RNAcentral lists this ribosomal RNA (1343 nucleotides) under uncultured bacterium. RNAcentral's name for it is "16S ribosomal RNA". It matches the Rfam family "Bacterial small subunit ribosomal RNA", at positions 28 to 1378 of the family's 1533-position model. The record is from RNAcentral.
GACGAACGCUGUCGGCGUGCUUAACACAUGCAAGUCGAACGGAAAGGCCCUGCUUUUGUGGGGUGCUCGAGUGGCGAACGGGUGAGUAACACGUGAGUAACCUGCCCUUGACUUUGGGAUAACUUCAGGAAACUGGGGCUAAUACCGGAUAGGAGCUCCUGCUGCAUGGUGGGGGUUGGAAAGUUUCGGCGGUUGGGGAUGGACUCGCGGCUUAUCAGCUUGUUGGUGGGGUAGUGGCUUACCAAGGCUUUGACGGGUAGCCGGCCUGAGAGGGUGACCGGCCACAUUGGGACUGAGAUACGGCCCAGACUCCUACGGGAGGCAGCAGUGGGGAAUAUUGCACAAUGGGCGGAAGCCUGAUGCAGCAACGCCGCGUGCGAGAUGACGGCCUUCGGGUUGUAAACCGCUUUCGCCUGUGACGAAGCGUGAGUGACGGUAAUGGGUAAAGAAGCACCGGCUAACUACGUGCCAGCAGCCGCGGUGAUACGUAGGGUGCGAGCGUUGUCCGGAUUUAUUGGGCGUAAAGGGCUCGUAGGUGGUUGAUCGCGUCGGAAGUGUAAUCUUGGGGCUUAACCCUGAGCGUGCUUUCGAUACGGGUUGACUUGAGGAAGGUAGGGGAGAAUGGAAUUCCUGGUGGAGCGGUGGAAUGCGCAGAUAUCAGGAGGAACACCAGUGGCGAAGGCGGUUCUCUGGGCCUUUCCUGACGCUGAGGAGCGAAAGCGUGGGGAGCGAACAGGCUUAGAUACCCUGGUAGUCCACGCUGUAAACGGUGGGUACUAGGUGUGGGGUCCAUUCCACGGGUUCCGUGCCGUAGCUAACGCUUUAAGUACCCCGCCUGGGGAGUACGGCCGCAAGGCUAAAACUCAAAGGAAUUGACGGGGCCCCGCACAAGCGGCGGAGCAUGCGGAUUAAUUCGAUGCAACGCGUAGAACCUUACCUGGGUUUGACAUGGAUCGGGAGUGCUCAGAGAUGGGUGUGCCUCUUUUGGGGUCGGUUCACAGGUGGUGCAUGCCUGUCGUCAGCUCGUGUCGUGAGAUGUUGAGUUAAGUCCCGCAACGAGCGCAACCCUUGUUCACUGUUGCCAGCACGUUAUGGUGGGGACUCAGUGGAGACCGCCGGGGUCAACUCGGAGGAAGGUGGGGAUGACGUCAAGUCAUCAUGCCCCUUAUGUCCAGGGCUUCACGCAUGCUACAAUGGCUGGUACAGAGAGUGGCGAGCCUGCGAGGGUGAGCGAAUCUCGGAAAGCCGGUCUCAGUUCGGAUUGGGGUCUGCAACUCGACCUCAUGAAGUCGGAGUCGCUAGUAAUCGCAGAUCAGCAACGCUGCGGUGAAUACGUUCCCGGG